This 417-nucleotide ribosomal RNA is filed under the name uncultured bacterium. RNAcentral describes it as "bacterial SSU rRNA". It matches the Rfam family "Bacterial small subunit ribosomal RNA", at positions 355 to 774 of the family's 1533-position model. The record is from RNAcentral.
UGGGGAAUCUUGCGCAAUGGGGGCAACCCUGACGCAGCAACGCCGCGUGUGUGAAGAAGGCCUUCGGGUCGUAAAGCACUGUCAGGAGGGAAGAAAACCGGCAAGUCCGGCGUGACGGUACCUCCUAAGGAAGCACCGGCCAACUCCGUGCCAGCAGCCGCGGUAAUACGGAGGGUGCAAGCGUUGUUCGGAAUCAUUGGGCGUAAAGCGCGCGCAGGCCGCCCGUUAAGUCUGGUGUGAAAGCCCGGGGCUCAACCCCGGAAUGGCAUCGGAAACUGGCGGGCUUGAGUCCGAGAGGGGUCAGUGGAAUUCCUGGAGUAGGGGUGAAAUCCGUAGAUAUCAGGAGGAACACCAGCGGCGAAGGCGGCUGACUAGAUCGGAACUGACGCUGAGGCGCGAAAGCGUGGGUAGCAAACA